Molecule: ribosomal RNA, 324 nt
Filed under: uncultured eukaryote
Lineage: Eukaryota
Description: partial 18S ribosomal RNA
Rfam family: Eukaryotic small subunit ribosomal RNA
Source: RNAcentral
CCCUUAGAUGUUCUGGGCUGCACGCGCGCUACACUGAAGCUAUCAACACGUUUUCCCUCCCUGAGAAGGGCGGGUAACCUUUUGAAUCAGCUUCGUGGUAGGGAUCGGGGCUUGCAAUUGUUCCCAGUGAACCAGGAAUUCCUAGUAGACGCGAGUCAUAAGCUCGCAUCGAUUAAGUCCCUGCCCUUUGUACACACCGCCCGUCGCUACUACCGAUUGAACGUUUUAGUGAGGCAUUUGGACCGACGCAUCUCAGUUUAACCGCUGGUUUGUGUUGGAAAGACUUCCAAACUUGAGCGUUUAGAGGAAGUAAAAGUCGUAACA